This 63-nucleotide small RNA is filed under the name Rattus norvegicus (Norway rat). RNAcentral's name for it is "partial PHD2 shRNA". The record is from RNAcentral. Lineage: Eukaryota; Metazoa; Chordata; Mammalia; Rodentia; Muridae.
CGUGACUCUUCCAAGGACAUCCUUCAAGAGAGGAUGUCCUUGGAAGAGUCACUUUUUUGAAUU